GAACGCUAGCUACAGGCUUAACACAUGCAAGUCGAGGGGAAACGACAUCGAAAGCUUGCUUUUGAUGGGUGUCGACCGGCGCACGGGUGAGUAACGCGUAUCCAACCUGCCCAUCACUUGGGGAUAACCUUGCGAAAGUAAGACUAAUACCCAAUGAUAUCUCUAGAAGACAUCUGAAAGAGAUUAAAGAUUUAUCGGUAAUGGAUGGGGAUGCGUCUGAUUAGCUUGUUGGCGGGGUAACGGCCCACCAAGGCAACGAUCAGUAGGGGUUCUGAGAGGAAGGUCCCCCACAUUGGAACUGAGACACGGUCCAAACUCCUACGGGAGGCAGCAGUGAGGAAUAUUGGUCAAUGGACGAGAGUCUGAACCAGCCAAGUAGCGUGCAGGAAGACGGCCCUAUGGGUUGUAAACUGCUUUUAUAAGGGAAUAAAGUGAGUCUCGUGAGACUUUUUGCAUGUACCUUAUGAAUAAGGACCGGCUAAUUCCGUGCCAGCAGCCGCGGUAAUACGGAAGGUCCGGGCGUUAUCCGGAUUUAUUGGGUUUAAAGGGAGCGUAGGCCGGAGAUUAAGCGUGUUGUGAAAUGUAGACGCUCAACGUCUGCACUGCAGCGCGAACUGGUUUCCUUGAGUACGCACAAAGUGGGCGGAAUUCGUGGUGUAGCGGUGAAAUGCUUAGAUAUCACGAAGAACUCCGAUUGCGAAGGCAGCUCACUGGAGCGCAACUGACGCUGAAGCUCGAAAGUGCGGGUAUCGAACAGGAUUAGAUACCCUGGUAGUCCGCACGGUAAACGAUGGAUGUCCGCUGUUGGUCUGAAUAGGUCAGCGGCCAAGCGAAAGCAUUAAGCAUCCCACCUGGGGAGUACGCCGGCAACGGUGAAACUCAAAGGAAUUGACGGAAGGGGGG
RNAcentral lists this ribosomal RNA (903 nucleotides) under uncultured bacterium. RNAcentral's name for it is "bacterial SSU rRNA". It matches the Rfam family "Bacterial small subunit ribosomal RNA", at positions 31 to 924 of the family's 1533-position model. The record is from RNAcentral.